RNAcentral lists this ribosomal RNA (426 nucleotides) under uncultured Haliangium sp. RNAcentral's name for it is "bacterial SSU rRNA". It matches the Rfam family "Bacterial small subunit ribosomal RNA", at positions 355 to 774 of the family's 1533-position model. Lineage: Bacteria; Pseudomonadati; Myxococcota; Haliangiales; Kofleriaceae. The record is from RNAcentral.
UGGGGAAUAUUGGACAAUGGGCGCAAGCCUGAUCCAGCCACGCCGCGUGAGUGAUGAAGGCCUUCGGGUCGUAAAGCUCUGUGGGGAGGGACGAACCGCCGGAUGUGCAUAGCAUCCGGCAUGACGGUACCUCCUUAGCAAGCACCGGCUAACUUCGUGCCAGCAGCCGCGGUAAUACGAAGGGUGCAAACGUUGCUCGGAAUUAUUGGGCGUAAAGCGCACGUAGGCGGCUUUGCAAGUCGGAUGUGAAAUCCCUCGGCUUAACCAAGGAAGUGCAUCCGAAACUGCAGAGCUUGAGUACUUAAGAGGAUCGCGGAAUUCCCGGUGUAGAGGUGAAAUUCGUAGAUAUCGGGAGGAACACCAGUGGCGAAGGCGGCGAUCUGGGAAGAUACUGACGCUGAGGUGCGAAAGCGUGGGGAGCAAACA